RNAcentral lists this ribosomal RNA (244 nucleotides) under uncultured bacterium. RNAcentral's name for it is "partial 16S ribosomal RNA". It matches the Rfam family "Bacterial small subunit ribosomal RNA", at positions 28 to 273 of the family's 1533-position model. The record is from RNAcentral.
GACGAACGCUGGCGGCGUGCUUAACACAUGCAAGUCGAGCGGUAAGGCCCUUUGGGGUACACGAGCGGCGAACGGGUGAGUAACACGUGAGUAAUCUGCCUUUGGCUUGGGAAUAACUUCGGGAAAUCGGGGCUAAUGCCUGAUGUUUACUGUCUGCUGCAUGGUGGGUGGUGGAAAGAUUUUUUGGCCAGGGAGUGAGCUCGCGGUCUAUCAGCUUGUUGGUGGGGUAAGNGGCUUACCAAGG